UUGGGCUUGCUUAUUGUUCAAUUCAGUACUGU
This 32-nucleotide non-coding RNA is filed under the name Homo sapiens (human). The record is from RNAcentral. Lineage: Eukaryota; Metazoa; Chordata; Mammalia; Primates; Hominidae.